GCUAACUUCGUGCCAGCAGCCGCGGUAAUACGAAGGGGGCUAGCGUUGUUCGGAAUUACUGGGCGUAAAGGGCGCGUAGGCGGCGCUUCAAGUCAGAUGUGAAAGCCCCGGGCUCAACCUGGGAACAGCAUUUGAGACUGGAGUGCUUGAGUUCCGGAGAGGUGGGUGGAAUUCCCAGUGUAGAGGUGAAAUUCGUAGAUAUUGGGAAGAACACCGGUGGCGAAGGCGGCCCACUGGACGGAUACUGACGCUGAGGCGCGAAAGCGUGGGGAGCAAACAGGAUUAGAUACCCUUGUAGUC
RNAcentral lists this ribosomal RNA (300 nucleotides) under uncultured Rhodocista sp. RNAcentral's name for it is "bacterial SSU rRNA". It matches the Rfam family "Bacterial small subunit ribosomal RNA", at positions 496 to 795 of the family's 1533-position model. The record is from RNAcentral. Lineage: Bacteria; Pseudomonadati; Pseudomonadota; Alphaproteobacteria; Rhodospirillales; Azospirillaceae.